Molecule: long non-coding RNA, 470 nt
Organism: Oncorhynchus nerka (sockeye salmon)
Lineage: Eukaryota; Metazoa; Chordata; Actinopteri; Salmoniformes; Salmonidae
Exons: 3
Source: RefSeq, a predicted model, not a curated record
GCCAGAUACACUUACCCAGCAGAUAUAUACUGUAUACUCCCUCACAGUCAUUUACAAUCUGAUUAUGACACCUAGAACACAGAUAAGCGCCAGGGAAAAGUAUCUUAUUCUGGAAACUACAGUUUUGAGAUUGCAAUAUGUGUAUUAGCCCGCACACAGCUAUUAGCCUGGACAUAAAUUAUAACCUGAAAACUUGUAUACAAAGAACUACAAUGAGAAACCUUUACACACGUAAUAAUCCAUUGGAUUCAACACCAAUACAGACAAUGGCGCUGGGAUCAGACUGAAAAGCUUCCUUGUCUCAGAAGAGAGAGAGAGAGAGAGAGAGAGGGAAGAAGAUAAGUGACUGUGCAUCGCUGAGGCCGACCACAACUGACCAACAAGGAUUCUUCCCCGGGCCCCAGCUGUGCCGGCGGAAUGGAGAGAGCGAGCGGAUAGAGGAGCGCAGGAUAGCGGAGCACACAGGCACC